Molecule: long non-coding RNA, 4589 nt
Filed under: Marmota monax (woodchuck)
Lineage: Eukaryota; Metazoa; Chordata; Mammalia; Rodentia; Sciuridae
Source: RNAcentral
AUGUAAACUAUGGACUCUGGGUGAUAAUAUUGUAACAAGUGUACCAUUGUGGUGGGGAAGUGGAGAUGUUGACAGUGGGAAGGCUGCAUGUUGGGGGACAUGGGAACUCUAUACUUUGCACUCAAUUUUGCUGUGAACUACAACUGCUCUGGAAAAUAAUAAAUGAAGACCUAAAUAAAUGGAAAUACAUAAUUUGUGCCAGGGAGUGGCUCAUACCCAUAAUCCCAAUGGUUUGGGAGGUGGACGCAGGAGGCCAGAGAUGUAGCUCAGUGGUAGAGGGCUCCUGGGUUCAAUCCCCAGUACUGAAAGGGAGCGGGGAGAGAGAGAGAAGAAAGAGAUAUAUAAUUUGUUCAUACCAAUGUGCCACUUAAUCUAUAGACAAAUGUAUAAUUUCAAAACUAUUCCAACUAUGGGGGAGGGGUAUUAAGGAUCAAAUGAGAUGCAUUCUACCACUGAGCCCCAUCCCCAGCCAUUUUUAUUUUUAUUUUAAAUAUUGAUUUUUUAGUUGUAGUUGGACACAAUACCUUUUAUUUUAUUUAUCUGUUUUUUAUGUGGUGCUGAGGAUCAAACUCCCAUGCCUUGAACAUGCUAGGCGAGCACUCUACCGCUGAGCCAUACCCCAGCCUUAUUUUUUUAUUUAUUAUUAUUAUUUUUUUUUUUGAGACAGGGUCUUGCUAAAUUGCUUAGGGCCUUGCUAAGUUACUGUGGCUGGCCUUGAAUUUGCAAUCCUCCUGCCUCAGCUUCCAACUUGCUGGGAUUACAGGUGUGUACCACCAUGCAGUUUAAAAUUAUUCCAAUUUUUAAAACCUAACAGGAUUUUUUUUGAGGGGUCCUAGGGAUUAAAUCCAGGGACACUUAACCUCUAAGCCACAUUCCCAGCCCUUUUUAUUUUAUUUUGAGACAGGGUCUUACCAAGUUGCUUACUCACUAAAUUGCUGAGGCUGGCCUCAAACUUGUGAUCCUCCUGCUUCAGCUUCCUGAGUUUGAUUCCAAAUCUAUUAGGAAGUGAAAAAGUCUAAGAAGACAAGAAGUACCAAAAGGGAAAGAAAGAAGGAAAGAGGAGAGAUGGAGGGAAAGGAGGAGGGAAAAAGUUUAUUCACACCAUUCAUGUCUUCAUACCUGUACUUUGGAUAAUGGUGACCAUCACCUUCCACCAUCAUUUCUACCCCCUGCCCCCUCCCUUCCCUUCCCACCCCUCUGCCCUAUCUAGAGUUCAUCUAUUCCUCCCAUGCUCCCCCACCCUACCCCACUAUGAAACAGUUUGAUGCUGGUUGUUUUAAUGAAUCAUAAUAAUAACUAUUACUUAUCAGGUAGUUAGUAUGUGCUCAAUACUGUUAAAACACUUCAUAAACUAGAUUUCUUUUUAAAGUCAUGUUUGUUGAGGUAUAACUUACAUAUGGUACAAUUUGCCCAAUAGUUUUAUAGUUAUAUGAAUUUUGAUAACAUAAAUAUAAAAAAUGAAAACAUAUAAAUAUGGAUAUAUAGUACUACAGUGAAGUUACAGAAUGUGUUACCUUAUUCUUCUUUACUUCUUUUUUUAAAACAAAUAGAGAAAUUAAUUUUAUUUUAUUUUAUUUUAUUUUUUUAAAGAGAGAGAGGGAAUUUUUUAGUAUUUAUUUUUUAGUUUCCGGCGGACACAACAUCUUUGUAUGUGGUGCUGAGGAUCAAACCUGGGCCGAACGCAUGCCAGGCGAGCGCACUACCGCUUGAGCCACAUCCCCAGCCUGAGAAAUUAAUUUUAAUAUAUUUUCAUUUAAUCCAAUGGAUUACUAACAUAAUUUGCAAAGAAAAUAAUUAUUAGUAAGAUAUUUCAUGUUCAUUUUCUUUGUCCUAGUAAUUCUUUGGAAUCUAAUGUCUGUUUAACACAUAGCACACCUCAAUUCAGACUAGACACAAUUCAUAUACUCAGCAGUCUCUCAUGUAACCAAUGGCUGCCAUAUUGGCUCCCUUCUCCAUCUUUCACCUUUUGGUGAGACAUGCUGUAGGCUGCAUGAUAAGUCCCCCUUGUUACAUGGUUUCUUGUUGAGUUCCAUGAGAAAGGGACACCAGAGAUGAAUUUAGAAUAUACAAGAGUAGAGGGAGGUGUUUUAUUCCUCCCUAUAAGACUCUAAUAAACUGUGAGUUGGUUUCUACAUGUUUUUGGUGGGAAUAACUUCAGUUAGGUCACCUUCUCCUACAAGUUUUUCAUAAUGGCUCUCUCUUCUUUUACCUCCUACCUCUUCAAGUCUACGGUAGGAAAGGUGCUUCACAAAAUUUGUUAGUUUCCCUCAACCUUGCCCUUACUUUUAUAAAUACCUUAAACAAUUUUUACUCUGAUGGAUCUUUUUCAUCCUUGAAUCUUGAAUAAUGGAUUUUUAAUUCUAAGAGAGUAAAAUAUACCUCAUCUCAUAUCACAAGCAAUGUAUAUAUACAUACCAGAUUAAUUAUAUAUUAAAAUAUAACAUGUAAAAUGCUAAAAUUUUUAAAGAAAAUAUUUGUGUAACUUUGUGAAGAGAAAUGGAAAACAAAAAAAAUACAAAAUAAACAAAACCCUAAAAAAUUGGAUGAUAUUGUAGUUAAAAUUUUUAUGUGUAAAAAUUUAUUUUCCAAAAGGGUUAAAAGGGACAUGAAUUGUAUUAUCGGCCAUUUUUGUUUAUUUUUGGUAUUUAGCUUGACUUGGUUUCUCCUUUGGUUGGCUUUUCCUUUAUUGUAGUUCUUCCCUUUGCAGAUUUUCAUUGUUGUUUUUCAUUUCCUCCUCGUGGAAUAUUUUGCGAAGAAUGUUCUAUAGUGCAGGCUUUCUUGCUGUAAAUUAUUUUAGCUUUUGUUUGUCAUCGAAGGUUUUUAUUUUAUCAUCAAAUUUGAAGCUUAAUUUUGCUGGAUAUAAGAUUCUUGGUUGGCAUCCAUUAUCUUUUAGAGCUUGGUAUAUGUUGUUCCAGGAUCUCCUCGCUUUGAGAGUCUGGGUUGAAAAAUCUGCUGAGAUCUGAAUUGGUCUUCCCUUAUAGGUAAUCUGAUUUUUCUCUCUUGCUGCCUUUAAAAUUCUAUCCUUAUUCUGUAUGCUAGGCAUUUUCACUAUAAUGUGUCUUGAUGUAGAUCUGUUGUAAUUUUGUACAUUUGGUGCCCUAUAGGCCUCUUGUAUUUGAUUUUCCAAUUCAUUCUUCAUGCUUGGGAAAUUUUCUGCUAUUAUUUCAUUGAAGAGAUUGUACAUCCCUUUGGUUUGACUCUCUGAACCCUCCUCUCUCCAAAUUUAAGAUAAAUCUUAAAUUUGGUCCUUUGAUGAUAUCCCAUAAUUCUUGGAUAUUCUGUUCAUGGUUUCUUACUAUCUUCACUGUGAGGUCAACUUUAUUUUCAAUAUUGUAUAUUUUGUCUUCGUUGUCUGAGGUUCUGUCUUCCAAGUGAUCUAGUCUGUUGGGGAUGCUAUCUAUUGACUUUUUUUAUUGUUUCUUUCAAGGAUUUCUGCUUUUUUUUUUUUAUUCCAGUAUCUCCAUCUCUUUCUUGAAGUAAUCUCUUGCAUCCUAUAUUUUCUCUUUGUUGGUGUGAUCAAUGGUCACCUGUAUUUGCUCUCUUAUCUCUUUUUGGAGUGAUCGAUUUUUGCCUGUAUCUGCUCACUUAGGUUGUUCUUUAAUUCCCAAAUCAUUUCAGUUAUGCAUAUUCUGAACUCCUUCUCUGACAUUUCACCUACUGCGCGAUCUGUGGAUUCUAUUGUUGUGGUAUCUUGGUUUGUUUGAGGCAUUUUCCUCCCUUGUUUUUUCAUGAUGUCUAUGAGUCUUCCUCUCUUGCAGUGUAGGUCCCAGGUAUUACAGCUUCUGCCCUACUGUCUUAUAGUGUCCCUAUAGGUUACCAAUACCUCACUUUUAAGGGAGGGAUCAAUAUUACAGCACUCAAUGUACCCAACCUGCAGCCAUAUAUCAGUCAGCUUCUAUUUUUACAUUUAAAGUUUUGUCACUAUAAUCAGAAGUGAUGAGUUCGGUUAUCUUCUACCUUAUAGUCAAUAGGUUUGCGUAAUGGUUUACAGUUUCUAACAGUAGAAAGGGGACUGAAGGAAAAUAUGGAGGUAUUAGAUUAUAUGACAAGUGAGAGGGUAAUCAUAAGAAGCUGGCUGUUAAUAGGAGAAACAAGAGAUAGGCAACCCCAUGCAAGACUCCCUGUUACCUCGGCAACAGGAUAACUGUUAGCACCCCUAGUAGAGAAACCUCUGGUACAGCCAGGCCCAUAGGGACCUUGGUGCCUUCUUAAUAGGUUCUAAUUAUUGUCCCUCAAUAGAAGCAGCAAUAUUCCAGAUUCACCACGGAGGCAGCCUCAAGCCUAUAUGUACCUUGAUGUUGGGCUGUGGAGCCAUGCUUUGGUGAAUAAGGAACCCCAGCACAGAGUGGCUCACCAUUUAUCUCCAGGCAUGGUACAGGCCUCUCCUCUGGAUCUCAGGCUGCAGGUGUGGUGGGCGGGCUUCUCCUCCAGAACUCCAGCUGCUAGUGUGGCCAAAACUUUAGGAAGUUGUAAGUUGCUGAGCUGGUCAUGCCUGAAGUCCUAGUGAUUCUGGAGGCUGAGGCAGGAGGAUCACAAGUUUGAGGCCAGCCUCAGCAACUUAGCAAAGCCCUGUUUAGAGAAAAAAAAAA